UAUUUUAAAGAGAAGUUUGAUCCUGGCUCAGGAACGAACGCUGGCGGCAGUUGCCUAAAUACAUGCAAGUCGAACGAACGGAGG
RNAcentral lists this ribosomal RNA (84 nucleotides) under Listeria monocytogenes. Its description in RNAcentral is "partial 16S ribosomal RNA". The record is from RNAcentral. Lineage: Bacteria; Bacillati; Bacillota; Bacilli; Caryophanales; Listeriaceae.